RNAcentral lists this ribosomal RNA (207 nucleotides) under uncultured bacterium. RNAcentral's name for it is "partial 16S ribosomal RNA". It matches the Rfam family "Bacterial small subunit ribosomal RNA", at positions 568 to 774 of the family's 1533-position model. The record is from RNAcentral.
UGUGUAGGCGGCCUUCUAAGUUUGGUGUGAAAUCUCCCGGCUCAACCGGGAGGGUGCGCCGAAGACUGGGGGGCUAGAGUGCGGGAUGGGAGAGUAGAAUUCCUGAUGUAGCGGUGAAAUGCGUAGAUAUCAGGAGGAAUACCUGUGGUGUAGACGGCUCUCUGGACCGCAACUGACGCUGAGACACGAAAGCGUGGGUAGCAAACA